This 1484-nucleotide ribosomal RNA is filed under the name metagenome. RNAcentral describes it as "bacterial SSU rRNA". It matches the Rfam family "Bacterial small subunit ribosomal RNA". The record is from RNAcentral.
AGAGUUUGAUCCUGGCUCAGGAUGAACGCUGGCGGCGUGCUUAACACAUGCAAGUCGAACGAAGCACUUUUACAGAUUUCUUCGGAAUGAAGUUUUAGUGACUGAGUGGCGGACGGGUGAGUAACGCGUGGGUAACCUGCCUCACACAGGGGGAUAACAGUUGGAAACGGCUGCUAAUACCGCAUAAGCGCACAGUACCGCAUGGUACAGUGUGAAAAACUCCGGUGGUGUGAGAUGGACCCGCGUCUGAUUAGCUAGUUGGCAGGGCAACGGCCUACCAAGGCGACGAUCAGUAGCCGACCUGAGAGGGUGACCGGCCACAUUGGGACUGAGACACGGCCCAAACUCCUACGGGAGGCAGCAGUGGGGAAUAUUGCACAAUGGGGGAAACCCUGAUGCAGCGACGCCGCGUGAGCGAAGAAGUAUUUCGGUAUGUAAAGCUCUAUCAGCAGGGAAGAAGAAAUGACGGUACCUGACUAAGAAGCACCGGCUAAAUACGUGCCAGCAGCCGCGGUAAUACGUAUGGUGCGAGCGUUAUCCGGAUUUACUGGGUGUAAAGGGAGCGCAGGCGGAAGGCUAAGUCUGAUGUGAAAGCCCGGGGCUCAACCCCGGUACUGCAUUGGAAACUGGUCAUCUAGAGUGUCGGAGGGGUAAGUGGAAUUCCUAGUGUAGCGGUGAAAUGCGUAGAUAUUAGGAGGAACACCAGUGGCGAAGGCGGCUUACUGGACGAUAACUGACGCUGAGGCUCGAAAGCGUGGGGAGCAAACAGGAUUAGAUACCCUGGUAGUCCACACUGUAAACGAUGAUUACUAGGUGUUGGAGGAUUGACCCCUUCAGUGCCGCAGUUAACACAAUAAGUAAUCCACCUGGGGAGUACGACCGCAAGGUUGAAACUCAAAGGAAUUGACGGGGGCCCGCACAAGCAGUGGAGUAUGUGGUUUAAUUCGACGCAACGCGAAGAACCUUACCAAGUCUUGACAUCCAUCGACGACUAUAGAAAUAUAGUUUUCCUUCGGGACGGUGAGACAGGUGGUGCAUGGUUGUCGUCAGCUCGUGUCGUGAGACGUUGGGUUAAGUCCCGCAACGAGCGCAACCCUUAUGGUCAGUUACUACGCAAGAGGACUCUGGCCAGACUGCCGUUGACAAAACGGAGGAAGGUGGGGAUGACGUCAAAUCAUCAUGCCCUUUAUGACUUGGGCUACACACGUACUACAAUGGCGUUAAACAAAGAGAAGCAAGACCGCGAGGUGGAGCAAAACUCAGAAACAACGUCCCAGUUCGGACUGCAGGCUGCAACUCGCCUGCACGAAGUCGGAAUUGCUAGUAAUCGCAGAUCAGCAUGCUGCGGUGAAUACGUUCCCGGGCCUUGUACACACCGCCCGUCACACCAUGAGAGCCGGGGGGACCCGAAGUCGGUAGUCUAACCGCAAGGAGGGCGCCGCCGAAGGUAAAACUGGUGAUUGGGGUGAAGUCGUAACAAGGUA